GACAACGCUGGCGGCGUGCUUAAUACAUGCAAGUCGAACGGAGCCUAGCCGGUAGUUUACUACAGGCGAAAGCUUAGUGGCGGACGGGUGAGUAACGCGUGGGCAAUCUGCCCCUAAGUCCGGGAUAACAGAGCGAAAGUUCUGCUAAGACCGGAUACUCUUCCUUGGUCGCAUGGCGGAGGAAGGAAAGGAUACGCUUAGGGAUGAGCCCGCGUCCCAUUAGCUAGUUGGUGAGAUAACGGCCCACCAAGGCGACGAUGGGUAGCCGGCCUGAGAGGGUGGACGGCCACACUGGGACUGAGACACGGCCCAGACUCCUACGGGAGGCAGCAGUAGGGAAUUUUCCGCAAUGGGGGAAACCCUGACGGAGCAACGCCGCGUGAGGGAAGAAGGCCUUCGGGUCGUAAACCUUUGUCAUCGAGGACGAUAAUGACGGUACUCGAGGAGGAAGCCCCGGCUAACUACGUG
RNAcentral lists this ribosomal RNA (468 nucleotides) under uncultured bacterium. RNAcentral describes it as "bacterial SSU rRNA". It matches the Rfam family "Bacterial small subunit ribosomal RNA", at positions 32 to 507 of the family's 1533-position model. The record is from RNAcentral.